GCUCACACACACACACACUCACUCACACACACACACACACACACACAUUUUAGGUAGAUUGUCCUAAUUGGUGUUCUUUUGUUUUUUCCAUAUCUUCAUGCCAAUACCUGAUUGUCUUCCCAUUACAGAAACCAAAAACAUCACAGGCUUUUGGGCCACUGAUCUCCUUUAUUGACAAGGUUUACUCAAGGGGCAGUUGAGGAAGUGAAGAAAAAGGAGAAGGCAGAGAUACCAUGAAAACAGCAGAGGUUGAGGAAGAAGAAGCUGAGAUCAAGAGAAGAGAGCCCCUGCUUAAACAGUGAAAAGAAAAAGAGGCUCCAAUAAGAACAAGACUACAGAAAACAAAGAAAGGAUCUAAAGCCGCUGAGGAAGUCCAACUGUCGGCUGCACAAGCCACUAUGAUGGAUCUUCCAAUGGGCUGUCCUACACCAGUGUAUUGUCCAGCGCCCCCUAGUUAAUAUGAAUCAGAGGUUCCUGUUUUGAAAACUCAACAAGCUCCUACUAUACUGAAAGGUGUUGAGCUUCAAAUUUAAUACAGAUCAGUGUCAUGCAAUACUAAGUAAUUAAUAACUGUAAUUAAAUUACUUUUUCAAAGUAUGGGAUUACUCUUCAUUUUUCAGUAAUUUAAUAACAAUUACUUCUGGUGUAAUUGUGUUAAAUACUGUAUAGACUAUAGAACAAUUCUGUAUAAAACAAUAGUGAAUUUAAAAUUGAAAUGUAAUGUCUAAUGUUAAAAUAUGUUUUCUAAUUUAACGAUGCCCCCUUCAAUUCUUUGGCCAGUUCAUGAAUAAUUUAUUUGAUUUGAUAUGAUUUAUUUGAAAUAAUUAAAAGAACAGAUUCAUCCUUGUGUUUUUCAUCUAGUCGAGGUUGAUAAGGGUUUUAAAAAGUAAUUAGUAAUAAGUAAUUAAAUUACUUUUCAAGACAGAGUAAUUAGUACAGUAAUGUAAUUACAUUGUAGAAGAUGUAAUUAGUAGUUUGUAAUUAAUUACUUUUUAGAGUAACUUACCCAAAAGUGAUUAAGAUUGAGUUGUAUAUUCUAAUUGUUUGUCAUUGUCAUUCCAAAAGAAAUUACUCAUGUAAUGAACAAUUUUCUUAAAAAUCGGAAGCUGCUACAGCACAGCCAAAAGAAACCACAAAAAGGAAAGGUAAAUUAGGAAUGUCUCGAGUUAAUGAGUGAACUCAGUUUUUUUUUUUUUUGCUUCAUUAUAUUAACAGACUUAUUAAAAUAAAAACCUCUGACUUGUAAUUUAAGAUCCAACUGCACCAAAAUAAAAAAUCAAACCAGCUUGUGUAAAGAAGGGUGAGAGCAAAUUUAAAUGGAAAUAUCAUGUUCAGUGAUUAAGGAAUAAUGUUAGCAUUGUUUGCCCUUAUUAUAACAACAAUAAUGAUUGUUGUAUGUGUUUUUUGCGAAUUCUUUCAUUUUUUCUUUUUUUUUUUUUUUUUGUAUGUAGAACCUGGUGUUACCAAAGAUAAAUUAAAACCUUAAGCUGCAAAGAAAGAGCCAGAGAUCACUAAAGAGAAGACAAAACCUACCUCUGCUUAGAAAGUAACCAGAGAAACCAAGUCAGCAACUGCAAAGAAAGGACGUGCAUUAUUGUGCAUAAAGCCAACGUCUCAAGUUGUUUCCUGGGAGUAAAUGUAAUUAUCUGUACACUUAGUUUAACCCUUGGUUGAAAUCUGCAUCAUCCUCUGCUUUUGGUUAUCAAUUGCUCACAAAUGCUUCUGAAACAUACUUACACUCUGAGAUCAUUGAAAAUUACAUGUUGUUUUUAAUGAAUCUCUCCACUUGACAUUUUUUAUUUUAUCUGAUGCUACAAAAGGCCUGCAGUGAUGCAUCUAAACUUUACAUGAAAGUCAGUCUCAUGAAAGACUCUGUCUGUCAUCGCAUUAAGAUGUGAAGUAUGGAUAUGGAUGAUUGCAUAAGGAAAGCAUUUGUAUUGUUUAAGUGACAUUCCAGUAACAACAAAGAGAACUGAAGAAGUUUUGUGCCAUUGCCCUUCUGCCUUUGCAGUUCCUGCUGUUGAAUUGAAUUUCAAGAUGGAAAAGAAUAAAGUUA
Molecule: long non-coding RNA, 2056 nt
Organism: Xyrauchen texanus (razorback sucker)
Lineage: Eukaryota; Metazoa; Chordata; Actinopteri; Cypriniformes; Catostomidae
Exons: 10
Source: RefSeq, a predicted model, not a curated record